GAUGAACGCUAGCUACAGGCUUAACACAUGCAAGUCGAGGGGAAACGAUGAGAGAGCUUGCUCUCUUAGUCGUCGACCGGCGCACGGGUGAGUAACGCGUAUCCAACCCGCCUCUGACCAAGGGAUAACCCGUCGAAAGUCGGACUAAUACCUUAUGCAGUCGUCGGAAGUCAUCUGAUGACGACGAAAGAUUUCAUCGGUGAGAGAUGGGGAUGCGUCUGAUUAGCUUGUUGGCGGGGUAACGGCCCACCAAGGCGACGAUCAGUAGGGGUUCUGAGAGGAAGGUCCCCCACAUUGGAACUGAGACACGGUCCAAACUCCUACGGGAGGCAGCAGUGAGGAAUAUUGGUCAAUGGGCGUAAGCCUGAACCAGCCAAGUAGCGUGCAGGAUGACGGCCCUAUGGGUUGUAAACUGCUUUUAUGCGGGGAUAAAGUGAGGGACGUGUCCUUCAUUGCAGGUACCGCAUGAAUAAGGACCGGCUAAUUCCGUG
RNAcentral lists this ribosomal RNA (491 nucleotides) under uncultured bacterium. Its description in RNAcentral is "partial 16S ribosomal RNA". It matches the Rfam family "Bacterial small subunit ribosomal RNA", at positions 28 to 507 of the family's 1533-position model. The record is from RNAcentral.